AGGCUUAAUACAUGCAAGUCGAGGGCCAGCGCGGUAGCAAUACUGGCGGCGACCGGCGCACGGGUGCGUAACACGUAUACAAUCUGCCUCUUACUGGGGGAUAGCCCGGAGAAAUCCGGAUUAAUACCCCAUAACAAUAGAAACGGCAUCGUUUUUAUUUGAAAGAAUUUUGGUAAGAGAGGAGUAUGCGACUGAUUAGUUAGUUGGCGAGGUAAUGGCUCACCAAGACCGCGAUCAGUAGGGGAUCUGAGAGGAUUCACCCCCACACUGGUACUGAGACAGGGACCAG
RNAcentral lists this ribosomal RNA (289 nucleotides) under uncultured bacterium. Its description in RNAcentral is "partial 16S ribosomal RNA". It matches the Rfam family "Bacterial small subunit ribosomal RNA", at positions 46 to 334 of the family's 1533-position model. The record is from RNAcentral.